RNAcentral lists this ribosomal RNA (384 nucleotides) under uncultured bacterium. RNAcentral's name for it is "bacterial SSU rRNA". It matches the Rfam family "Bacterial small subunit ribosomal RNA", at positions 29 to 409 of the family's 1533-position model. The record is from RNAcentral.
AGUGAACGCUGGCGGCAGGCCUAACACAUGCAAGUCGAACGGCAGCACAGAGGAGCUUGCUCCUUGGGUGGCGAGUGGCGGACGGGUGAGGAAUACGUCGGAAUCUGCCUAUUUGUGGGGGAUAACGUAGGGAAACUUACGCUAAUACCGCAUACGACCUACGGGUGAAAGCGGAGGACCUUCGGGCUUCGCGCAGAUAGAUGAGCCGACGUCGGAUUAGCUAGUUGGCGGGGAAAGGCCCACCAAGGCGACGAUCCGUAGCUGGUCUGAGAGGAUGAUCAGCCACACUGGAACUGAGACACGGUCCAGACUCCUACGGGAGGCAGCAGUGGGGAAUAUUGGACAAUGGGCGCAAGCCUGAUCCAGCCAUGCCGCGUGUGUGAA